RNAcentral lists this ribosomal RNA (406 nucleotides) under uncultured bacterium. RNAcentral describes it as "partial 16S ribosomal RNA". It matches the Rfam family "Bacterial small subunit ribosomal RNA", at positions 28 to 526 of the family's 1533-position model. The record is from RNAcentral.
GACGAACGCUGGCGGCAGGCAUAACACAUGCAAGUCGAACGAGUGGCGGACGGGUGAGUAAUGUCUGGGAAACUGACCGAUGGAGGGGGAUAACUACUGGAAACGGUAGCUAAUACCGCAUACCCUCAGAUUGGCCCAGAUGGGAUUAGCGAGUAGGGGGGGUAACGGCGCACCUAGGCGACGAUCCCUAGCUGGUCUGAGAGGAGGACCAGCCACACUGGAACUGAGACACGGUCCAGACUCCUACGGGAGGCAGCAGUGGGGAAUAUUGCACAAUGGGCGCAAGCCUGAUGCAGCCAUGCCGCGUGUAUGCAGAAGGCCUUCGGGUUGUAAAGUACUUUCAGCGAGGAGGCGUUACUCGCAGAAGAAGCACCGGCUAACUACGUGCCAGCAGCCGCGGUAAUAC